This 4836-nucleotide unclassified non-coding RNA is filed under the name Hevea brasiliensis (rubber tree). Lineage: Eukaryota; Viridiplantae; Streptophyta; Magnoliopsida; Malpighiales; Euphorbiaceae. The record is from RNAcentral.
CUUUUUUUUUUUUUUACAAAGUUAGGCAAUACUAUUAAUUAUAAUUUUUCUUAUGUGUCAUUCAAAUAACUAGGAUUCUUAUUUAAUCAGAAAAAUGUCAAUUCCAUCGUUUGCUACCUUAUAUUGGGAUGGAGAAAUUAUUAUUGAUGAUGAAGGCUGCGACUAUUGUGGGGGUUCAUCAACAGUCAUUACCAUUGGUAGACGCAUGGAUUUUGGUACUUUAGGUAUGAAAAUAGUACGUGCAAUUGAUCUUGAAGCUGGGUGUGAAUUUAUAUCGAAUAUCUUUUUCAGACAACCCAUUGAAGGAGAUGGUUCAGUGAAAUGGGACUGUAUGGGUUUGACUAACGAUGAUGAUGUAAAUAUUAUGUUUAAUUUUAUUGAUGAAAUUGGAGGUAUGUCAUCGAUAGAAUUAUAUAUUGAUAUUUUUCGACCGGAUGCAUCUAGAAAUGUUGUUGAUGAAGCGGGACCAUCAAAUGUUGGUACUACUGAUGAGGUAGUUGUUCGCUAUCAUUCGUCUGAACUUGAUAGUAGUACGUUUGAGGAUAAAGUUUUGGGGGUUAUCAAUGAAUCUGAAGAUAUUUGUGAACGUCGAUGGGUGUACGAAUCAAACGAAUCAUACUUUUCUGAUAGUCAUUAUUGCCCCAAUAAUGGUGUCGAUGAAGAGGAUUCUGAUGAACAAUGGAUUGAUAGUGAUGAGGCAGACUUCAAUCAGGAUGUUGAGCAUGAUAAUGAGGUAGUAGUCAACUUGCCUUCAUACUAUAACACUCAUGUUGCAAACCCAAUAAUGCCUAUUGUCCAUCCUCCACCUUACUGUGAAUUAGAUUUUUCAUUGCUAACAGUUGAUCCAUGGUCAAAACCGCAAUAUAGUUCAAUGUGGGAUCCAUCGAAUGAGUUUGAAGUUGGAAUGACAUUUCCGUCUAGAGAGGCUGUCCAAAGAGCUACCAAAGAAUAUCAUUUACUUAGGCACCAUGACUUUUCUUAUGAUGAGACAAAGAGCAAAACAUAUGCUAUAAGGUGCAAAUAUAGAAACAACAAUUGUAAGUGGAGAAUGCGUGCGUCUCGUCGGGAAGGAUCUGAUAUAUGGAAAAUUACUCGAUAUAACGGACCUCAUACAUGUGUUAAUCCAUCAAUCUCACAAGAUCAUAGGCAAUUGGAUAGCAAAUUUUUAUCUGAUUUCAUCCUAGCAAUUGUACGAGAACAGCCAAAUGUGAAGAUAUCUGCGUUACAAGCAGAAAUCAAAGAUAAGGUUGGAUAUAUGCCGAGUUAUCGGAAGAUGUGGAAGGCUAGACACGAUGCAGUUGUUAAGAUAUUUGGUGGUUGGGAGGAAUCUUUUACAAGAUUGCGUCAAUUCAUGCUUGCGUUGUGCAAACACAACCCCGAUUCUUCGUUCUUGAUUGAAGAUGACCCUCUGUUUGUUAAUAAUAAAUUAAAACCUGAGAAUCGGGUUUUCGAUAGGAUGUUUUGGGCAUUCAAACAAACAAUUGAAGGUUUCAAGCACUGUCGGCCAGUUAUUUUUAUAGACUCCACAUUUUUAUAUGGAAAGUACAAAGGGUGUUUAUUUUGUGCUAUGGGACUGGACGGCAAUAACCAUAUUUUUCCUAUUGCAUGGGCAAUAGUUGAUUGUGAAAAUACAAGGAACUGGGAUUGGUUCAUGUCUUGUUUACGGGUGUUUGUGACUGAUCGUUCUGAUAUUUGUGUUAUAUCAGACAGACAUAUUGCCAUUAAAAAAGCAAUGCAGCAAGAUUGGUGGCAGCCUCCUAAUGGACAUCAUCGAUACUGCUUAAGACACGUACUGAGCAAUUAUAACACGAAGUUUAAAAAUCCUGACAUGAAAGAAGCUCUCCGAAAGGCAGGUUAGUUUUUGCCAAAGAAUAUUAUUUUUGCAAGCAUUAAUUGCAUUUUCAAUGUUAUAUAAUACAAAAAAUGUCAAUUUUUUUUUUAACAGCUCACCAAAUUCAGAAAAAGAAAUUUUAUGAUGCCAUGGACACAAUCAAGAGCGGGCAUCCAGAUACAUUUGAAUGGGCCAGAAAUAUACCAUUGGAGAAAUGGACACGUUCUCAUGAUGGAGGAAAAAGGUAUGGCUCCAUGACAACCAAUACCGUUGAGUCAGUUAAUGGAAUGCUGAAGGGGAUUCGUGCACUACCAAUAACUACAAUGGUAGAGAAAAUAUUUUUCCAAUGUGUCCAAUACUUUGACACACGCCGCACGACCUUCCGCGAACAAUUGCAGUUGGGCUUCAACUUAACACCGGCAUGUCGUCAAAUUUUGAAUGAAAAUUUGAAUGAAGCAAACUCACUUAAUGUUCGAUUAUUUAAUUGCGAUUGUGGUGAAUUUGAAGUUUGGAAGGAUAGAACUGGGGACAACCACAUCGUCAAACUUUAUGAGAGGACAUGCACAUGCGAGAAGUUUCAAGAGAUACGUAUUCCAUGUUCUCAUGUCAUAGCAGCAUGCCAAUCAAUGUCAAUUAAUUAUGAGCAAUACGUUUCAAAUUAUUAUACAUUGGAACGAACGCUUAAGUGCUAUGAGUGGCAGUUUCAUGCACUUGGACAUCAUGAUGAUUGGCCAACAGACAAUGAUCCAAUCCUUGUACCUGACCCAAAUCGGAAAAGGUCUAAAGGAAGACCAACUUCUUUAAGGAAGAUGAAUGAAAUGGAUUGGAUGGUGAUUCAAAAGAGAGGGGAUCCGUCUAAAAUCCAUUGAAGGACACUAUUUUCAAAUACUUUGUAUUAUUAUCAUAAAUUGUUGGACAUAGUUUUCAUUAUUAUGUUUUCAUUUUAUGUGUAUUAUUACCCCCCUGUUGUUAGGUUACGUACUUUUCAAUUUUAUCUUAAAUUAUUGCAUUAUUUAAUAUAAUUACUGCAUUAUGAUUUAUGUCGUAUAUAUUUAUUUAACUGGAAUGUCACGAGCCGAAUGGCCAGAAGUUUGUGAGCUCUUGUUGGGAGCUAGACCACCUCCAGAAAUGAUUCGAGGACAUACAUUAAAAUUAUCAUGGCUAAUUGAUGAGUUUGGAGCUAUUCCACAUGAAGCUGAUGAUUUAACAGUGUUAUGGCAUGCAAGAGCAUUCAUAUUACGACUCAUCGGUUCGAUAUUUCCCGACAAGACAAACUCACGUGUGAACUUGAUGUUCCUACCCCUAUUAGAAGACUUAAGGCAAGCUGCGACAUACAGUUGGGGUGGAGCUUGCUUAGCCUUCCUUUAUCAUGAGCUUUGUCGUGUUGCAGUUACUGAAGCAAAGGAGAUUUCAGGACCCCUGUUCAUAUUGCAAAUCUGGGCUUGGGAGAGAUUUAAAAUAAUCUCUCCAUCAAUAAGAGAUCCAUCGGCACCUCAUGAUGCACCCCUAGGUGCUAGGUGGAGUAGAGCUCGACAGAUCACUGAAGUUACAACCCAUGUACUACAACAAAUUCGAUACAAUCUUGAUCGAAUGCGACCUGAAGAUAUUACAUGGGAACCAUAUAAUGAGGAAUUGUUGGAUAAGCUGCCCGACAUGUGCAAACAGGGUCGUCCCAUAUGGAAGGCAGUGGUGCCAUUAAUUUGCUUCCAUAUUAUUGAAUGGCACCAGCCUGAUAGAGUGAUGAGGCAGUUUGGUUUGGCUCAACCUAUUCCACGACGAUCGAUGCAAACAGAUGAGUUACAUGAGAUUACUCUCCGAUUUAGUGAGAGUAAUUGGGCGCACCACCAUGCGACGUACAUUAAUCGUUGGAAUAGGCGAGAACAUUACAUUGUUCAAGGGCAAGAAAUGGCACAACCACUCCACCAUCAUUCUGAAUAUAUGGAGUGGUAUCGUCGAGUUGCAAGACGUUGGAUCUCAAUAAGUGGAGCUGCCAUUGGUUGUGUGGAGGAUGCAAUUGAGGAUUGUUUGCUAAAAUUACAGAACCCAUCAAUAGAAAAUGUGGCUGAAGUUAAACGUACAUUAAGAAAAAUGAUGAUUGCUCUAGAGGAAGAAAGUCGGCUUUGCCAAAUGCCACCUCCUCAAUCCGCACCUCAAGCAACAACCUUUAAUGAUGAAUUAGAAGAGGACCAACCCAUCAACCAGCCUGAGCCCUCACAAAGAGCAGCACGACGCCGAUCACGUCCUACUCGAAGUCGUCAACAUCCAGUGCGUCCAGCCUCUCCUCCCAAUGAUGCUUUGCCCCCACCUGUCGCAUUCCACCCUUACUGCAUCACAUCAGCGCCUGAUCAUUCUGAUCCUAUUCCCUCGGCUCCUGCACUAUCUGACCCUGCUCAUUACACUGGUUGGAUGGCUACCCCAUCAAUGCCUGGCCCAUCAGCACCAUGGAUGUCAUAUCAAACUCAAAUGCAAAACAGAAGCACAUUCGACUUUACUGAGAGUCAACAGCCGCAAACACCAUUCGGCGGCUUAUUUGCUCCAUUUGGCAGACCCUCAAGCAUUGGGCCAUCACAGAAUACGUCAGGUCAAUUUAGUGGAUAUGGGUCAGAACAAUACUUUGCACCAUAUCAUUCUGGUGCCUUAGGCCAUAUUCCAUCUGCUGCGGGUCUAUUUGGAUACCAUGAACAAAGUGCUGUGCAUUAUACUGCAGGGGGGGAAUCAUCGGGACAACAUCAAGGGCAAGCUAGCCAACCCAAAGAUGCACAAGGUCAUCCAGCAGAACAUCAAGAAGGGGGAGAACAUCGAGUUCUUCGACCGAGACGACAUAUACGAAGACCUGGUUGUGGCACAUGAUUGAUUUAAAUAUUUGUUAUCAUUUAUAUAUUAAUUAUGAAAACUUCUCUCAAGUUAUUUAUCGCUUUAAGUCAAUUGCUACAAUAUAUUAGUGACAAUUUUUAUAUUUUUUGCACAAUUAAAUUUCCUACAAAUUUUUAAUAACUUAAUUUGAC